RNAcentral lists this ribosomal RNA (417 nucleotides) under uncultured bacterium. RNAcentral describes it as "bacterial SSU rRNA". It matches the Rfam family "Bacterial small subunit ribosomal RNA", at positions 506 to 921 of the family's 1533-position model. The record is from RNAcentral.
GGCCAGCAGCCGCGGUAAUACAGAGGUCCCGAGCGUUGUUCGGAUUCACUGGGCGUAAAGGGUGCGUAGGUGGUGAGGUAAGUCGGAUGUGAAAGCUCGGAGCUCAACUCCGAAAUGGCAUUGGAAACUACCUUGCUGGAGGAUUGGAGGGGGGACUGGAAUUCUCGGUGUAGCAGUGAAAUGCGUAGAGAUCGAGAGGAACACCAGUGGCGAAGGCGAGUCCCUGGACAAAUCCUGACGCUGAGGCACGAAAGCUAGGGGAGCAAACAGGAUUAGAUACCCUGGUAGUCCUAGCCGUAAACGGUGUGCACUUGCUGUAGGCGGAAUCGACCCCGUCUGUGGCGUAGCCAACGCGAUAAGUGCACCGCCUGGGAAGUACGGUCGCAAGAUUAAAACUUAAAGGAAUUGGCGGGGGAU